RNAcentral lists this ribosomal RNA (1522 nucleotides) under Lactiplantibacillus plantarum. RNAcentral describes it as "Lactobacillus plantarum 16S ribosomal RNA". It matches the Rfam family "Bacterial small subunit ribosomal RNA". The record is from RNAcentral. Lineage: Bacteria; Bacillati; Bacillota; Bacilli; Lactobacillales; Lactobacillaceae.
GACGAACGCUGGCGGCGUGCCUAAUACAUGCAAGUCGAACGAACUCUGGUAUUGAUUGGUGCUUGCAUCAUGAUUUACAUUUGAGUGAGUGGCGAACUGGUGAGUAACACGUGGGAAACCUGCCCAGAAGCGGGGGAUAACACCUGGAAACAGAUGCUAAUACCGCAUAACAACUUGGACCGCAUGGUCCGAGYUURAAAGAUGGCUUCGGCUAUCACUUUUGGAUGGUCCCGCGGCGUAUUAGCUAGAUGGUGRGGUAACGGCUCACCAUGGCAAUGAUACGUAGCCGACCUGAGAGGGUAAUCGGCCACAUUGGGACUGAGACACGGCCCAAACUCCUACGGGAGGCAGCAGUAGGGAAUCUUCCACAAUGGACGAAAGUCUGAUGGAGCAACGCCGCGUGAGUGAAGAAGGGUUUCGGCUCGUAAAACUCUGUUGUUAAAGAAGAACAUAUCUGAGAGUAACUGUUCAGGUAUUGACGGUAUUUAACCAGAAAGCCACGGCUAACUACGUGCCAGCAGCCGCGGUAAUACGUAGGUGGCAAGCGUUGUCCGGAUUUAUUGGGCGUAAAGCGAGCGCAGGCGGUUUUUUAAGUCUGAUGUGAAAGCCUUCGGCUCAACCGAAGAAGUGCAUCGGAAACUGGGAAACUUGAGUGCAGAAGAGGACAGUGGAACUCCAUGUGUAGCGGUGAAAUGCGUAGAUAUAUGGAAGAACACCAGUGGCGAAGGCGGCUGUCUGGUCUGUAACUGACGCUGAGGCUCGAAAGUAUGGGUAGCAAACAGGAUUAGAUACCCUGGUAGUCCAUACCGUAAACGAUGAAUGCUAAGUGUUGGAGGGUUUCCGCCCUUCAGUGCUGCAGCUAACGCAUUAAGCAUUCCGCCUGGGGAGUACGGCCGCAAGGCUGAAACUCAAAGGAAUUGACGGGGGCCCGCACAAGCGGUGGAGCAUGUGGUUUAAUUCGAAGCUACGCGAAGAACCUUACCAGGUCUUGACAUACUAUGCAAAUCUAAGAGAUUAGACGUUCCCUUCGGGGACAUGGAUACAGGUGGUGCAUGGUUGUCGUCAGCUCGUGUCGUGAGAUGUUGGGUUAAGUCCCGCAACGAGCGCAACCCUUAUUAUCAGUUGCCAGCAUUAAGUUGGGCACUCUGGUGAGACUGCCGGUGACAAACCGGAGGAAGGUGGGGAUGACGUCAAAUCAUCAUGCCCCUUAUGACCUGGGCUACACACGUGCUACAAUGGAUGGUACAACGAGUUGCGAACUCGCGAGAGUAAGCUAAUCUCUUAAAGCCAUUCUCAGUUCGGAUUGUAGGCUGCAACUCGCCUACAUGAAGUCGGAAUCGCUAGUAAUCGCGGAUCAGCAUGCCGCGGUGAAUACGUUCCCGGGCCUUGUACACACCGCCCGUCACACCAUGAGAGUUUGUAACACCCAAAGUCGGUGGGGUAACCUUUUAGGAACCAGCCGCCUAAGGUGGGACAGAUGAUUAGGGUGAAGUCGUAACAAGGUAGCCGUAGGAGAACCUGC